UAUUUUUUUAUUGUAUAAAAUAUAAAAUAUAAAUAACGACAUUUAUAGGGGUUUAUAGUGGCUCGUAUUGCAGGUAUUAACAUUGCUAAU
Buchnera aphidicola str. Bp (Baizongia pistaciae) is the source of this 90-nucleotide regulatory RNA element. It matches the Rfam family "Alpha operon ribosome binding site". Rfam says of the family: The bacterial alpha operon ribosome binding site is surrounded by this complex pseudoknotted structure. Lineage: Bacteria; Pseudomonadati; Pseudomonadota; Gammaproteobacteria; Enterobacterales; Erwiniaceae. The record is from Rfam.